Molecule: ribosomal RNA, 1428 nt
Filed under: uncultured organism
Description: SSU rRNA
Rfam family: Bacterial small subunit ribosomal RNA
Source: RNAcentral
ACACAUGCAAGUCGAGGGGCAGCAUCAUCAUAGCUUGCUUUGAUGGAUGGCGACCGGCGCACGGGUGAGUAACACGUAUCCAACCUGCCGACAACACUGGGAUAGCCUUUCGAAAGAAAGAUUAAUACCGGAUGGCAUAAUUUUCCCGCAUGGGAUAAUUAUUAAAGAAUUUCGGUUGUCGAUGGGGAUGCGUUCCAUUAGGCAGUUGGCGGGGUAACGGCCCACCAAACCAACGAUGGAUAGGGGUUCUGAGAGGAAGGUCCCCCACAUUGGAACUGAGACACGGUCCAAACUCCUACGGGAGGCAGCAGUGAGGAAUAUUGGUCAAUGGACGAGAGUCUGAACCAGCCAAGUAGCGUGAAGGAUGACUGCCCUAUGGGUUGUAAACUUCUUUUAUACGGGAAUAAAGUUAGCCACGUGUGGCUUUUUGUAUGUACCGUAUGAAUAAGGAUCGGCUAACUCCGUGCCAGCAGCCGCGGUAAUACGGAGGAUCCGAGCGUUAUCCGGAUUUAUUGGGUUUAAAGGGAGCGUAGGCGGGUUGUUAAGUCAGUUGUGAAAGUUUGCGGCUCAACCGUAAAAUUGCAGUUGAUACUGGCGACCUUGAGUGCAACAGAGGUAGGCGGAAUUCGUGGUGUAGCGGUGAAAUGCUUAGAUAUCACGAAGAACUCCGAUUGCGAAGGCAGCUUACUGGAUUGUAACUGACGCUGAUGCUCGAAAGUGUGGGUAUCAAACAGGAUUAGAUACCCUGGUAGUCCACACAGUAAACGAUGAAUACUCGCUGUUGGCGAUAUACGGUCAGCGGCCAAGCGAAAGCAUUAAGUAUUCCACCUGGGGAGUACGCCGGCAGCGGUGAAACUCAAAGGAAUUGACGGGGGCCCGCACAAGCGGAGGAACAUGUGGUUUAAUUCGAUGAUACGCGAGGAACCUUACCCGGGCUUAAAUUGCAACUGACGGAACCGGAAACGGUUCUUUCUUCGGACAGUUGUGAAGGUGCUGCAUGGUUGUCGUCAGCUCGUGCCGUGUGGUGUCGGCUUAAGUGCCAUAACGAGCGCAACCCUUACGGGUAGUUACCAUCAGGUUAUGCUGGGGACUCUACCCGGACUGCCGUCGUAAGAUGUGAGGAAGGUGGGGAUGACGUCAAAUCAGCACGGCCCUUACGUCCGGGGCUACACACGUGUUACAAUGGGGGGUACAGAAGGUAGCUACACGGCGACGUGGUGCUAAUCCCAAAAGCCUCUCUCAGUUCGGAUUGGAGUCUGCAACCCGACUCCAUGAAGCUGGAUUCGCUAGUAAUCGCGCAUCAGCCACGGCGCGGUGAAUACGUUCCCGGGCCUUGUACACACCGCCCGUCAAGCCAUGAAAGCCGGGGGUACCUGAAGUACGUAACCGCGAGGAGCGUCCUAGGGUAAAACUGGUGAUUGGGGCUAA